RNAcentral lists this ribosomal RNA (459 nucleotides) under uncultured bacterium. RNAcentral describes it as "partial 16S ribosomal RNA". It matches the Rfam family "Bacterial small subunit ribosomal RNA", at positions 338 to 795 of the family's 1533-position model. The record is from RNAcentral.
CCUACGGGAGGCUGCAGUGAGGAAUAUUGGUCAAUGGACGAGAGUCUGAACCAGCCAAGUAGCGUGAAGGAUGACUGCCCUAUGGGUUGUAAACUUCUUUUAUAAAGGAAUAAAACGAGGCACGUGUGCCUUUUUGCAUGUACUUUAUGAAAAAGCAUCGGCUAACUCCGUGCCAGCAGCCGCGGUAAUACGGAGGAUGCGAGCGUUAUCCGGAUUUAUUGGGUUUAAAGGGUGCGUAGGCGGGAUGCCAAGUCAGCGGUAAAAAUGCGGUGCUCAACGCCGUCGAGCCGUUGAAACUGGCGUUCUUGAGUGGGCGAGAAGUAUGCGGAAUGCGUGGUGUAGCGGUGAAAUGCAUAGAUAUCACGCAGAACUCCGAUUGCGAAGGCAGCAUACCGGCGCCCUACUGACGCUGAGGCACGAAAGCGUGGGUAUCGAACAGGAUUAGAUACCCGAGUAGUC